Molecule: ribosomal RNA, 408 nt
Filed under: uncultured bacterium
Lineage: Bacteria
Description: partial 16S ribosomal RNA
Rfam family: Bacterial small subunit ribosomal RNA
Source: RNAcentral
GACGAACGCUGGCGGCGUGCCUAAUACAUGCAAGUCGAACGAAGUGGCGAACGGGUGAGUAACGCGUAAUCAACCUGCCCUUCAGAGGGGGACAACAGUUGGAAACGACUGCUAAUACCGCAUACUGAAGGAGGGGAUUGCGUCUGAUUAGCGAGUUGGAGGGGGAACGGCCCACCAAGGCGAGGAUCGGUAGCCGGUCGUAGAGGUGGAACGGCCACAUUGGGACUGAGACACGGCCCAGACUCCUACGGGAGGCAGCAGUGGGGAAUCUUCCGCAAUGGACGAAAGUCUGACGGAGCAACGCCGCGUGAGUGAUGACGGCCUUCGGGUUGUAAAGCUCUGUUAAUCGGGACGCGGUACCGGAAUAGAAAGCCACGGCUAACUACGUGCCAGCCGCCGCGGUAAUUC